RNAcentral lists this ribosomal RNA (537 nucleotides) under Staphylococcus arlettae. RNAcentral describes it as "bacterial SSU rRNA". It matches the Rfam family "Bacterial small subunit ribosomal RNA", at positions 66 to 586 of the family's 1533-position model. Lineage: Bacteria; Bacillati; Bacillota; Bacilli; Caryophanales; Staphylococcaceae. The record is from RNAcentral.
GCGAACAGAAUAGGAGCUCGGUCCUCGACGUAGCGGCGGACGGGUGAGUAAACGUGGGGUAACUACCUAUAAGAGUGGGAAAACUCCGGGAGACCGGGGCUAACGCCGGAGAACAACCAGAGCCGCAUGGGUACUAAAGUGAAAGAGCGGCCCCGCUAUCACUUAUAGAUGGACCCGCGCCGUAUUAGCUAGUUCGGUAAGGUAAUGGCUUACCAAGGCAACGAUACGUAGCCGACCUGAGAGGGUGAUCGGCCACACUGGAACUGAGACACGGUCCAGACUCCUACGGGAGGCAGCAGUAGGGAAUCUUCCGCAAUGGGCGAAAGCCUGACGGAGCAACGCCGCGUGAGUGAUGAAGGGUUUCGGCUCGUAAAACUCUGUUAUUAGGGAAGAACAAACGUGUAAGUAACUGUGCACGUCUUGACGGUACCUAAUCAGAAAGCCACGGCUAACUACGUGCCAGCAGCCGCGGUAAUACGUAGGUGGCAAGCGUUAUCCGGAAUUAUUGGGCGUAAGCGCGCGUAGGCGGUUUCUUAA